RNAcentral lists this ribosomal RNA (423 nucleotides) under uncultured bacterium. Its description in RNAcentral is "bacterial SSU rRNA". It matches the Rfam family "Bacterial small subunit ribosomal RNA", at positions 361 to 776 of the family's 1533-position model. The record is from RNAcentral.
AUAUUGGACAAUGGGCGCAAGCCUGAUCCAGCCAUACCGCGUGAGUGAAGAAGGCCCUCGGGUUGUAAAGCUCUUUUGUUGGGAAAGAAAUCCUGCCGGUUAAUACCUGGCAGGGAUGACGGUACCCAAAGAAUAAGCACCGGCUAACUUCGUGCCAGCAGCCGCGGUAAUACGAAGGGUGCAAGCGUUACUCGGAAUUACUGGGCGUAAAGCGUGCGUAGGUGGUUGUUUAAGUCUGUCGUGAAAGCCCUGGGCUCAACCUGGGAAUUGCGAUGGAUACUGGGCAACUAGAGUGUGGUAGAGGGUGGCGGAAUUCCCGGUGUAGCAGUGAAAUGCGUAGAGAUCGGGAGGAACAUCCGUGGCGAAGGCGGCCACCUGGGCCAACACUGACACUGAGGCACGAAAGCGUGGGGAGCAAACAGG